AACGAACGCUGGCGGCAUGCCUAACACAUGCAAGUCGAACGAGACCUUCGGGUCUAGUGGCGCCCGGGUGCGUAACGCGUGGGAACCUGCCCUUAGGUUCGGAAUAACUCCCCGAAAGGGGUGCUAAUACCGGAUAAUGUCUUCGGACCAAAGAUUUAUCGCCCUUGGAUGGGCCCGCGUUGGAUUAGCUAGUUGGUAGGGUGACAGCCUACCAAGGCGACGAUCCAUAGCUGGUCUGAGAGGAUGAUCAGCCACACUGGGACUGAGACACGGCCCAGACUCCUACGGGAGGCAGCAGUGGGGAAUAUUGGACAAUGGGCGAAAGCAUGAUCCAGCAAUGCCGCGUGAGUGAUGAAGGCCUUAGGGUUGUAAAGCUCUUUUACCCGGGAUGAUAAUGACAGUACCGUGAGAAUAAGCUCCGGCUAACUCCGUG
This 433-nucleotide ribosomal RNA is filed under the name uncultured bacterium. RNAcentral describes it as "partial 16S ribosomal RNA". It matches the Rfam family "Bacterial small subunit ribosomal RNA", at positions 29 to 507 of the family's 1533-position model. The record is from RNAcentral.